This 439-nucleotide ribosomal RNA is filed under the name uncultured bacterium. RNAcentral describes it as "bacterial SSU rRNA". It matches the Rfam family "Bacterial small subunit ribosomal RNA", at positions 338 to 795 of the family's 1533-position model. The record is from RNAcentral.
CCUACGGGGUGCAGCAGUGGGGAAUAUUGGACAAUGGGCGAAAGCCUGAUCCAGCAAUGCCGCGUGUGUGAAGAAGGCCUUAGGGUUGUAAAGCUCCUUCACCGGUGAAGAUAAUGACGGUAACCGGAGAAGAAGCCCCGGCUAACUUCGUGCCAGCAGCGCGGUAAUAUGAAGGGGGCUAGCGUUGUUCGGAAUUACUGGGCGUAAAGCGCGCGUAGGCGGAUAGAUAAGUCAGAGGUGAAAUCCCGGGGCUCAACCCCGGAAUUGCCUUUGAUACUGUUUAUCUUGAGUGCAGAAGAGGUAAGUGGAAUUCCCAGUGUAGAGGUGAAAUUCGUAGAUAUUGGGAAGAACCCCGGUGGCGAAGGCGGCAACCUGGCUUGAUACUGACGCUGAGGCGCGAAAGCGUGGGGAGCAAACAGGAUUAGAUACCCGGGUAGUC